GACGAAGGGGGCUAGCGUUGCUCGGAAUCACUGGGCGUAAAGCGCACGUAGGCGGAUUCUUAAGUCAGGGGUGAAAUCCUGGAGCUCAACUCCAGAACUGCCUUUGAUACUGGGAGUCUCGAGUCCGGGAGAGGUGAGUGGAACUGCGAGUGUAGAGGUGAAAUUCGUAGAUAUUCGCAAGAACACCAGUGGCGAAGGCGGCUCACUGGCCCGGUACUGACGCUGAGGUGCGAAAGCGUGGGGAGCAAACAGG
This 253-nucleotide ribosomal RNA is filed under the name uncultured bacterium. Its description in RNAcentral is "partial 16S ribosomal RNA". It matches the Rfam family "Bacterial small subunit ribosomal RNA", at positions 524 to 776 of the family's 1533-position model. The record is from RNAcentral.